Molecule: long non-coding RNA, 18767 nt
Filed under: Gossypium barbadense (sea-island cotton)
Lineage: Eukaryota; Viridiplantae; Streptophyta; Magnoliopsida; Malvales; Malvaceae
Description: long non-coding RNA (GBAR_LNC003569)
Source: RNAcentral
AUACAUAAAAUGAUAUCACAAAGUAAAUUAAAGUGAUCAUGUCACCAUGUUUAUGUGUAAUUUUAUCCCUAAUCUUUUUACCCGUACUCCUUUAACAAUUGCCAAGUUUUGGUUGCUGUUUGGCAAAAAAAAUGUAUUGGUUAAUGACCAGUUGCCUGUAUUGUCUUCUUGGUACAUUACCAAUUGGCUAUUUAUCAUGGCAGCAUUAACUAGAAAGAUAGAAUUUUUAGAAAAUGGAAUGAGAACUAUGGCUGUUAUCAAAUAACCUUUGUUGCAGGCCCAUUUGCCCGGGCCCAAGAAAGAAACAAAAGAACCCAUACCAGCAGACCCACCUGCUCCACCUGCUCUGCCACUGCCGCACCGCCAUCACCUACCCUCCGCCGCACGUCCCAUCGCCUGCACCGUUCAGCCACCUGCUCCACCUGCCAAAGAGAAACAAACACGCAAGCAGAAACGAAGACAAAUUUUUUUCUUUCUUUNNNNNNNNNNNNNNNNNNNNNNNNNNNNNNNNNNNNNNNNNNNNNNNNNNNNNNNNNNNNNNNNNNNNNNNNNNNNNNNNNNNNNNNNNNNNNNNNNNNNNNNNNNNNNNNNNNNNNNNNNNNNNNNNNNNNNNNNNNNNNNNNNNNNNNNNNNNNNNNNNNNNNNNNNNNNNNNNNNNNNNNNNNNNNNNNNNNNNNNNNNNNNNNNNNNNNNNNNNNNNNNNNNNNNNNNNNNNNNNNNNNNNNNNNNNNNNNNNNNNNNNNNNNNNNNNNNNNNNNNNNNNNNNNNNNNNNNNNNNNNNNNNNNNNNNNNNNNNNNNNNNNNNNNNNNNNNNNNNNNNNNNNNNNNNNNNNNNNNNNNNNNNNNNNNNNNNNNNNNNNNNNNNNNNNNNNNNNNNNNNNNNNNNNNNNNNNNNNNNNNNNNNNNNNNNNNNNNNNNNNNNNNNNNNNNNNNNNNNNNNNNNNNNNNNNNNNNNNNNNNNNNNNNNNNNNNNNNNNNNUUUUAUUUCUCUUCGUCGGUAUUUAAAAGUGCUAGAGUACCAUCGGAUGUUGCAAAUGCAUUGAUAGGAGUAGCAAAUUUAACAGGUAUACUUUGCUCUUUGAUGGCUUUCUUGACCACGUUCUAUUAUGGUAUUUUGGUCCGUCUCUUGAUGCAUGAUUUUUCCUUCAUAAUAGGAUCUAUCGUUGCCAUGCUUUUAAUGGAUAAACUUGGAAGGAAGCUGCUUCUUCUGUGGAGCUUCUUUGGCAUGGUAAUUUACAGUGUUACUGAUUUUCUCAUCGAAAGCCCUUUCAUUUAUUAGUAGUAUUCAAGGAGUGCUACAUAUGACUUGUAUCGACAAAAAUGAAGAAAAGAAAGGCAUAUUUCUUCCUGACGUAAAUUAGAAUUUACAUCCCGUAAUGCUUUACAAUGGGUCAAUCUUUUUUCUUCUGUGCCCAGAGCACCCCUGGGUUAAAUUAUUCCAUGUCAUCUCUUGUUUGAGAUGGAACGAAAUUGAUUUCUGUUUUGUUAAAGAAGCUAGUAUAUUGAUCAUAGCAAGGAUUUGGGAACUAUGGUUUUAAAUUCCACUGCUAUCACCAUUUUAUGCAUGGCUCAGCUAAAAACAAAUAUUAUUUUUCUUUUCUUGAAUGGAAGAAUGAAAAUUUAUUUAUAAAUUCUGACUUUAUUUUUUUAAUUUAAUUUACUCAGACUAUGUCAAUGGUCCUUCAAGUUGCUGCGGCAAAUUCUUACGUGUCAGGCUCUGGAUCUUUAUACCUAUCAGUUGGUGGCAUGCUAAUGUAAGUAUUGCUGUAAUUUAUAUGCUUUUUGUUUUUUUUUUUUUUGUAAAAAAAUCUCUGAACACCUAGGAUUUAUAUGGAUGGAGAAAGUAUUCAAAUUUUGUAUAAGUUGAAAAUCUUGGUUGUAAGUUCAUUGUGUUUGGGUUCUCGAACCUGAGAUCCUGACCAUUGGAAUAAGCAGCAAACUAGAAGUGGAAUUGAUGGCUUGAAAAUGAUGAAAAGAUUACCAAUAUAUCUAAUAUUAGUCUUUUUUAUAACUGCUCACUAUCAACCACUGAGGCAGAACUUUUAGUAAUUGAUCAUGCUAUUCAUUGUGGAAAACUAUAAAUUGCCUAUGACAAAUGUCAGCAUUGAUUGCUGGAAGGCAAGAGAGAUUUGAUUUCCGGAUAUGGAUUACAACAUGCAGGUUCGUCUUAACAUUUGCACUGGGAGCUGGUCCUGUUCCAGGUCUCCUCCUACCUGAAAUUUUCCUAAAUCGAAUCCGGGCAAAAGCUAUGGCGUUCUGUAUGUCAGUGCACUGGGUAAUUUUCUCCUUUUUUCUUUUUCUCUUUCUCUUCUAUAUCAUUUGUCCGAAGAGAUUGUGACAGCUUUCGCAGCUCCGCAAGCUAGGAUAUGAAACUAUUAGUCUUAUUGCUAUCUUCUGAUGUUCUUUUUCUUGGUUGCUUUUACAUUGCUCUUUAGGUAAUCAAUUUCUUCGUUGGUUUGCUCUUCCUGCGCUUGCUGGAGCAACUCGGUCCACAGCUCUUAUACUCGAUUUUCGCCAGCGUUUGCAUGAUGGCUGUGAUCUUUGUUAAAAAGAACGUAAUGGAGACCAAAGGAAAAUCACUUCAAGAAAUAGAGAUUGCUCUUCUCCCACCAGAAUAGAGUUGGUACAUUAUCUCCCAAAUUUAUUUUUUGCAAUUCAAUUUUUUAUCUUACUUUUAUAGAGCUAAGAAUAAUAACCAAUAACCACCACACAUGUGUCAGUACAUGUGAGUGUGACGAUGUCAGUACAUGUGAGUGUAGAUAAUUCCUUCUGACUUGAUCAAAUGAAUUUAUAUAUGCAGAUCAAAUAUAAAUUUGAAGAGCAGAUAUUUUGAUCUCAUGCAACCAACUUUAGGUAUUCAUGCGAGUGUUUGACAUGCAUGAAGUAUAUUGUAUAUCCAUAUUUGGUCCUUAAUUCAUUCGGGCUAAUAUGAAAUGAUAUAUUAGAUGAGCUCUCUAUUUCCUAAUUCGGGCUAUGGGUCAUUUGUUUUGAAUCUUUAUAGUUCUCUUUAUUUGACUUAAGGUAGCACCACGGUUCACCAUUUUUGCCUCGACUUUUCAGCCUAGAAGUUGAAAUCAUAGCAAUAUAUAUAUAUUACUUUACAAAAGCACAAUCGCUUAAUUAAAUUUUACUAUUUUUAUGUUUAGCAAAAUAUGACUAUUUAUAUGCAAUUAGUAUACAUAAAAUGAUAUCACAAAGUAAAUUAAAGUGAUCAUGUCACCAUGUUUAUGUGUAAUUUUAUCCCUAAUCUUUUUACCCGUACUCCUUUAACAAUUGCCAAGUUUUGGUUGCUGUUUGGCAAAAAAAAUGUAUUGGUUAAUGACCAGUUGCCUGUAUUGUCUUCUUGGUACAUUACCAAUUGGCUAUUUAUCAUGGCAGCAUUAACUAGAAAGAUAGAAUUUUUAGAAAAUGGAAUGAGAACUAUGGCUGUUAUCAAAUAACCUUUGUUGCAGGCCCAUUUGCCCGGGCCCAAGAAAGAAACAAAAGAACCCAUACCAGCAGACCCACCUGCUCCACCUGCUCUGCCACUGCCGCACCGCCAUCACCUACCCUCCGCCGCACGUCCCAUCGCCUGCACCGUUCAGCCACCUGCUCCACCUGCCAAAGAGAAACAAACACGCAAGCAGAAACGAAGACAAAUUUUUUUCUUUCUUUCGGCUAUAAAAAGCCAGAUUUAAUAUGUAAAUGGGGCUGACUCUUUUUUUAAAAAGAAAAAAAAGAUCAAAGAAAUAGAGAAAAAAAUCAGUUGAAAGGUGAAAUUUUUAGCUUUUUUUCGAUUCCAUUCGGCUUUGCUUUCCUUUUCUUUUAUGUUUAAUAUAGGCUUAAGGAUUAAUAAACGAAACUUACCUGAAUCGUCGCGGUUGUAGCGUCGCCGGAGUCCGAGUCGUUGAGAACGGACGAGGAAGGCGUUUCAUUUUUUGAGAUUCCCUCUCUCGGCCUUAGGGCUUUAAGGACUCGAUUUUUGGAAGGGUUUUCGAAACGUGAUUUUAAAAGGCUAACUUUUCGACUUCCGACCGCCGCUUACGGCGGCGCCGGCGCCGGCGACCGGCGGCCGGUACGGUGGUUCUCGGCCGGAUCUUUGGCCGGCGUUCAGAGAGAAAAGGGGAGGGAGAGAGAGCAUUUCGGUUUUUUUUUUGAAAAGGGGAGAAGAAUGAAAUUUUUGAAAAUUUUUUUGAAUAUAUAGGCGUGUGAAACGACGUCGUUUUGGCCUAGCUCCAUAACGCCCAAAACGACGUCGUUUUGCUUUGGACCCGCGACCCGACCCGCUCCGACCCGAAGGAUCCGCGUGUUUUCUUGCGAAGGGGCUAAUUGCUCGUUUAGCCCCUCCGCAGUUUUAAUUAUUUUAAAUUUAAUCUUUUUUAAUUAUUGCAAAUUGGCCCAUUAAUUUAGUUUGUUUUUCGAUUUGGUCCUUCGACCAUCUGCGCCCUCCUCCCUGGAACGGCGUCGUUUUGACAUUGAGGGUUUAAUUACCCUUUCGGUCCCUCCUUUUUACGCCCGCUUGCAAUUAGAUCCCUCCGCCUUCUUUUUAUUUUUAAAUUGGCCCAGAAACUUUAUUUUAUUUCGAUUUAAGUCCCUUUUAAGCAUGUUUUUUUUUUUUCUUUUUUGCUCAUUUAUUUAUUUAUUAUUAUUAUAUUAUUAUUUAUAUAUAUGUGCUUAUAUACUAUAAUAUAUAAGUCUAAAAUUAUUACGAAUCUAUAUAUUUAUAAACUUUAAUAUCUAUCUAAUAAUAAUAUUAUAUUAUAUAUAUUCAAUUUUUUUUUUUUAUAUCUAUCCUGCUUUUUUUUAUUUAUUUAAUAUCUAUAUAUCUAUAUACAUAUACUACAUAAUAUUUAUACCUACGCAUAUACAAUAUAAUAUACUUGCAUACGAAUAAUUUUAUUUUUAUUUUAUGAGCAUUUCUAUUUCCUUAUUUAUGUAUAUACAUGUAUUUUAUAAUUAUAUAUACUUCUUUUUUUGUAUUUAAAUUUAUGUUUUUACCCCGUAUAAUUUGUUUCUAACAUACAUACAUAUAUAUCACCAUUUUAUUCAUUAUUAUAAUUAUCCUUUCAUGUUGAUUUAUUUAUUUAUCUACAUGUUCGUUAUUAUUUGCUUAAAUGUCUUUAUUCUUAUUUGUUUUUUUUUAUUUUUGUUGACUUUUAUUAUUUACCAUGCAUAAAAAUGUAAUUUGCUUCCACUAUGAUUUUGUGUUUUAUCUUACUUGAUGUAACAAUUUUUUUUAAAAAUGGCAUUUCGUGUUUGGAUUCGAGAAAAAUCGUGCCCUAACUUACUGGGUUUCGAUUUUCUCGAUGAAUCUAAAUACACGAAUCUUUUCAAAAUCAAGUUUUAAAUGAUCUCGAAUUUUAAAAAAGGGGUCGCAUCCUAACUUACUGGUUAUGACCUCAUUUUUAAAUUCGAGAUGGCUAAAAUUUCUUAAAUAAACUUUUUCAUUCGCGUAUCGAGAAUUUGAGAUAUUGUAUUCUAACUUACUGAAUAUGAUUCUUUUUCUCGAAUAACGUGAAAUAUCCUCCUUUUCUUGAAAAUUUUUAACAUUUUAAUACAAGGAUCGUAUUUUUUAAAAAUUCUUUUAAAUUCUCAAUUUUCGACAUUAAGACAUUAAGAAAUCAACUAGGUACCAAUUUUGGGCGUAUCGAGGGUGCUAAUCCUUCCUCGUGCGUAACCGACUCCCGAACCCGUUUUCUAAAUUUCGUGGACCAAAACCGUUGUUUUAAUAAAAUCAAACCGUUUAUUAAAAACGACCAUUUUUCGAGGUAAUCCAAUCACACCUCAUAAAAAAGGAUUGGUGGCGACUCCCAUUUUUGUUUUCAUUUUCCAAAACCCAAGUUGACCCCGUUUCCAUCCAAAAAAUGGUGUCAACAGCUUGGCGACUCCACUGGGGAUAGGAUAAGAGAGUCAAGCCACGUGUUGAUUAUUUCUUGUCUUUUUGUCGAAAGUUGAAAAUUCGAUUGAAAUUUACGAUCCUCUCACUGCAUCUCUUUUGUUUUGAGUUAUAUUUUGGUCGUGUUCUGUAUUUUAUUUUAUACCUCUGCGCAUUGCAUUGCAUGACCGUUGGUCACACCUUUUUAGGUGGGAGUGAGAAGCUACGCCUUCGUGAGGUUUUCACCUCCGCAUGGGAUAGUGAAUCGCUUUCGGGAUAUAUCCGUACCUAUGUCUUCGUGAGAUUUUCAUCUCCGCAUGGCCAUAGGGAAAUGUAUCCCCCUGAAUCGAACUUGGUCCGUAUGAGCCUAUAAUGGGUGAGGAUCGAGGAAUUUGCUGGUUCAGGUACCCUACUUUAGAACCAAACCACAUGUAAUGAGCCAUAGGAACCGACCUAGGUAGAGUUACUCUAAAUUUUUAGUGCUUACCUAAAUGAAUGUUGUAUUUAUUUAUCGUUUAUUUUAAAUCUUAUUCUGUGUUUAAUGCUAAUUUACUUUGUUUGUGAUUGCAUGGCAUCUUCAUUCUAAAAGAGGUGUUGAUUUACGUUCAGUUUCUUGGUAGAAAGCUUAUCAUGGAAAAGGGGUUUGUUGAUAAAGUAGAGGAUAAUGCGGCUGUGCGAAUAUGGGCUGAAACUACGCAACGGGAAAAAGGCGAUAGUCUUACCGAAGAGUACGUGUCAGAAUUGUGGGAUUUUACCCGUAUCAGUGUAAUCCAGAAUGACCUUCGAGAAAUGAAAGAAGUCUGGGAUCAAUGGGAUGUCGAGGCCAAGGAGCUGUUCUAUUGUAACUAUGGUGACCUACCUUAUCUGCUUAGUGUCAAAGUGGACAAGUAUUUAUUCCGAGCCCUUGCUCAGUUUUGGAAUCCUGCCUACAGUUGUUUCACUUUUGGGAAGGUAGAUUUGACGCCUACUGUAGAGGAGUAUACGACCUUACUUCGGUGCCCAAAGAUUCAAGUCGACAAGGCUUAUUCCAGAGCUGCUUGUGUCCCUCCGUUGUUAAAGAAAUUAAUGAACAUCACUGGGAUGAGCGAGCAGUGGGUCGUUGCCCGGAUCCAACAGAAGGGCGACAGUAAAUGUGUUCCUUGGAAAAGUUUACGAGAUUUGGUGCUUGUACAUCCUGACUUAAAGAAAAGGGUCGAUGUCUUCGCUUUAGGUAUCUAUGGACUAGUGGUUUUCCCCAAAGCUUUAGGACACAUAGACGAGGCUGUAUCUGAUUUGUUCGAUCGGCUUGGUAAAGGGGUUACACCGGUUCCGGCAAUACUCGCUGAAACUUUUAGAUCCUUGAAUGCGUGUCGAAAAGCAGGGGAGGGAAGGUUUAUCGGAUGCGCGCAGCUCUUAUUGGCAUGGUUCCAUAGCCACUUCUGGAAAGUCGAAAAGGUCUCUUACCGGGUAUUCUCCGAUAGCUACUCCCCUCUAGGAGAAUUGGUGGCCACGCCAAGACGGGAUGAUAUUUUAGAAGAAAAAUGGAUAGAGAUACUCCAGAAUCUCCAAGAUGAAGAUAUUGAAUGGAGGGCUCCUUGGUUAAUUCCUGAUGAGAUAUUGUACCGAUGUGGAGAUUUUGACUGGGUUCCGCUGCUCGGGAUAUGGGGGGCUAUUGGAUAUGCUCCUCUACUCGUGUCAAGACAGUAUAGAUCACGACAAUUCAUACCAGCAACCCAGGGGUUGGCUUAUAGUGAUUUUUCCUAUAGGGAGGACAAUUACAAGAAGAAGGUUCGAGAAAUAUCUAGUGCUUGGAACCAGACUCGUCGAAUGAAGAUCUUAGCUGUGGGUCCGACAAUUACCCCCGAGUAUGGUCAGUGGCGUAAUCAAAGGAUCAACGACAAUAUCCCGGCGUCAAAUUCAGAAACGGCUCGAUCUUUAGAGGAACACUUACAAGUCUUGCCUUCUGAGAUAGAAAUCAUCAAACAAGAAUUCGAAAAAAGAAGUUUAGAAUUGGGGAAGAAGAUAGAACAACUUGAGGAAGAAAAAAUGCAGUUAGGACUGGAUGUGGACAUUCAAAGAUUAGAGGCCAACAAAUUGAGGAAAGGAAAGAACAAGGCAGAAGAAGAUUUGGACAGCCUGAAGACAGAUUACAAGAAGUUGCGUAAGUCAGUAAGAGCCGCUGGCUUGGGUAAAACACCAGAACAAUGGCGACAAGAAAUUCAGGAGGAAAAGACGAAAGCUAAUCAAUGGGAAAAGAAAUUUCAGGAUGCUCGGGCUCGAGAAGCCGCCUUGGGAAAGAGUCUACUAGUUUGCCAAGACGAGAAGACGGAGUUGAAGGUCCGGAUAACAGAACUGGAAAGAUCGCUUCGCCAGUACUGUAAUCGUAAUACUACGGUUGAAUUAAGGGCGAGCUUAGACAAAAUUGAAGAAUUAAAAACACAGAUAGGAGGGCUAGAGAAUGCAUUGCAAAAUAGUGAAAUCCGGAUAGAGCUUCUAGAAGAAAGUAAUGAGCAGUGGCAAGGACAAUUCCGUCGGUCUCAAGAGCAGAUUGGAGAAAGAGAUUAUAUUAUGGGAGAGGCGGUGACUCAGGUGCGCGAAGUGGCUGAUCAUCUGCAAACUCUAGCGGUUCAGGCUGAUCUAUUAAGUUUGAAGUAUGAGUCAGAGUCGGACAGGGGCCGAGAAUUAGCUUGGCUUCUUAGAAAGGUUAAGGCUUUGAGUGUGAGGGCAAAGCCAUAUAUGUAGUCUAUUUUAUGUAAAGAAACUCUUUAUCUAGUAAAGUUUUCUAAUGAAGUUGAAUUAAAAUCAGUGCCUCUUUUUCUUUGCAUUCUCUUUCAUGCAUUGCAUCACAUCAUAUGCAUUAAUGACCAUUAAAAAAAACCUAAUCGAAUAAAAUCAUUUCAGUUAACCUGGAAAACCAACAAAGUUACGGCACCCGAGCAAAGACAAAAAUUAUGGACCAAAGGUUAGAGAAGCUAGAGCGACUUCAAAGAGAAAUGCAAGACCAGUUGCAGGCGCAAAUGAAAGAGCAAAUAGAAAAGAUUCAGCGUGACAUGGUACAAAAGAUGGAGGAGUCCCAAAAUGAUCUGGUGGCUAAGAUGACGCAAUUAUUGAAGGGAGUGGAUAAGGGUAAAGGGCCUGUGAUUGUUAGUGAAGAAGAAAACAAUGGUGAACCACUCUAUCCUCCAGGUUUCACGCCUCCACAUGUACAGACUGAGCUGCAUUCGCGGAGACCCUCUGUGUCAGUUAGACCCCAGCAGUUCCAAGGCGAUGCUUCAAUCCCAAUGAAUUUUCAACCCGGAGCGGGCUUUAAUCCCGGUGAUAGCCCGAAUAAUAUUGCGGUCCCAGAUCUUGACGAGAUGGUUGAAAAGGACAAGGCGAAGGAGGAAUUUCCAAAACAAUUUGAGGAGAAAUGGAAAUGGAUAGAAGAGAAGUUUAGGGCAAUAGAAAGCAUCGAAAGCUAUGGAACAGAUGCAAAGGAUCUGAGCUUGGUUCCGGACUUGGUGCUCCCUUACAAAUUUAAGAUGCCGGAAUUCGAGAAAUACAACGGGACUAGUUGCCCAGGAUCCCAUAUUACUAUGUUUUGUAGAAGAAUGACGGGGCAUAUUAAUAAUGAUCAAUUAUUAAUACAUUGCUUUCAGGAAAGCCUUACGGGAGCGGCGUCAAAGUGGUACAAUCAGCUGAGCCGAGCUAAAAUUGCUACUUGGAGGGAUUUAGCACAGGCUUUCUUGAGACAAUACAAUCAUGUCUCAGAAAUGAUGCCUGACAGGAUAACUCUGCAAAAUUUAGAGAAGAAAUCAAACGAAAGCUUCAGACAAUAUGCGCAGAGGUGGCGAGAGGUGGCGGUUCAGGUGCAACCACCGCUUUUGGAAAAAGAGAUGACGACGCUUUUUAUUAAUACUUUGAAAGCCCCGUUCAUCACUCACAUGUUGGGAAGCGCUUCAAGAAAUUUCUCAGAUAUAAUCAUGAAUGGUGAAAUGAUUGAGCAUGCCAUUAAAAGUGGAAAAAUAGAUGGAGGAGAAAAUAAUAGGAGGGCACCCCCGAGGAAAAGAGAAAAUGAAGUGAAUAAUGUGAAUGCUUAUGGUAGGUCAAUUACCGUGAAUCAACCAAAGAAGGUGGUUGCUAAUCAACAGGGAUCAUCAAGACAAGAGUCAGGAGCUAGGCAAACUACUGAAAAGCCCCAAUUCACGCCAAUCCCGAUGUCAUACAAGGAGUUGUAUCAGACUUUAUUCGAUGCACAUGUUGUUGCUCCUCGUUACUUGAGUCCUCUACAACCCCCGUAUCCAAAAUGGUAUGAUACGAACGCGCAAUGUGAUUAUCAUGCGGGAAUUUCUGGGCACUCGAUAGAAAAUUGUACUGCCUUCAAGAAGGUAGUAGAAGGACUUAUCAAUUUAGGUGUUGUCAAACUUGAUGACUCACCUAACGCAAAGAAUCCGUUACCUAAUCACGCAGAUAAGGGGGUGAAUAUGGUUAGCGAAGGUACGGGAGAAGAAGUCAAGACUGACAUUGCUGAAGUAAAAACUCCAUUGAAAUGGGUCUGGAAAGAAAUGGCGAAAAGAGGUUUGAUUAUUUCAGAUUCUGAGAAAGGGCAUGAGAUGGGAAAUUAUUGUGAAUUUCACCAUGAAACAGGGCAUGAAAUCCAAGAAUGUGAAGGAUUUAAGGCCUUGGUUCAAAGCAUGAUGGAUAACAAGGAGAUGAGAUUUUAUGAAGAUGUGAAAGAAAUGAGGAGCAUAUGCGCGACAGAGUUGGGAACAAAAGCUCCAAAAAUAAAUCAUCCCGUGGUCAUUAUCUCCCGCCCUAAGGGUAAUGAGGUUAGGGCUCAGGUAACGCCGAAAAUUGUAAUCCAGAAACCAUCAAAUUUCUCUUAUAAAGAUAACAAAAUGGUGCCGUGGAAUUACGGGUGUAAUGUGACCAUUUUGGGAAAAGAAGCAGAAAGAAAUCAGGAAACAGUUUUUUACACGCGCAAGGGAAAAAGAUAUGACGCUCAAGCAGAGUCGUCCAGGGAAGAGAAUUGGAAGAAAGAACAGAGGAAAGGGAAGGCAGUAGAAGUUGAACCAUUGGUAAAUGAACCAAUAAAAGAAGAAGAGGCGAAGGAGUUUUUGAAGUUUUUGAAACACAGCGAAUACAGUGUUGUGGAGCAACUGCACAAACAGCCAGCCCGCAUUUCGGUAUUAGCUUUACUCUUAAACUCAGAAGUACAUCGGAAUGCACUCUUAAAGGUGCUAAACGAAACAUAUGUGGCUGACGAUAUUUCAGUAAACAAGUUGGAUCGGUUGAUCAACAAUAUUGGUGCUGACAAUUUUAUCUUCUUCAAUGAUGAUGAAAUACCAUCCGGAGGAAGAGGUUCUACUAAAGCCCUCCACGUUACUGUCCGAUGCAAAGGGUACACACUCCCGGGGGCCUUGGUCGAUAAUGGAUCUGCACUAAAUGUAUUGCCUUUGUCCACUCUUAGUCGAUUACCAAUAGACAGUUCGCACAUGAAAGCAUGCCAGAGCAUAGUAAGGGCAUUUGAUGGAACAAAAAAGGAGGUUAUGGGGAGAAUUGAAGUACCAUUAAGGAUUGGCCCAGUCACUUAUGAGGUGGAUUUCUUGGUAAUGGAUAUUAAACCCUCCUACAACUGUCUAUUGGGGAGACCGUGGAUACACUCAGCAGGGGCGGUACCUUCAUCAUUACAUCAGAAGGUGAAGUUGGUAUCGGAGGAUCGGUUGGUAACAAUAGAUGCAGAGGAGGAUAUUAUCGCAAUGAUGACUAGCGAGACACCUUAUGUGGACAUCAACGAGGAGGCACUGGAAUGUUCUUUUCGGUCGUUAGAAUUUGUGAACGCGAUGUUUAUUGCGGAGGGAAAUAGGAUUCCAGUACCGAAAAUGUCCAGGACCACUGAGAUGGGAUUGCGAUUGAUGGUAGGAAGAGGAGCCUUACCCGGGAAAGGAUUGGGAAAAUAUCUUCAGGGGAGGAUUGAGGCACCAAUGCCGAGGGAAAAGUUUGAUAGAUUUGGUUUAGGGUACAAGCCAGACAUGAAGCAGAAGAAGAAAGAAGUAGAGAAGAGACAAGCGAGAAGAAGGGCGCGUUUGAAUGGACAUGAAGCUAAGUGUGAGCCUUUAACCUUUCCCCACAUAUCUUCAUCUUUUGUGUCGGGAGGAUUUAUUCAUUCUGAAUGUGGGGUGUCCGGUAGCGGCAUGGGAGGAAUGUUGGAAAACGUUUAUAUUAACACCAUAGAAGCAACGGAAAGGAGGGCUUUGUUGGAGAUCCGCCCUUAUGAGCCUGGAAGCGAGCUAAACAAUUGGACUGCUGAAGAAAUCCCUGUAAUCUUUAGGGCUUAUUCAGAGUAAUGCUCAAAACAUUCCUGUUGUUUGUUGGCCUAGAAACGAUACGAAAUUUUUUGUGAAAUAGGCAUUGGGCCUAAAUAUCAUUAUUUUAAUAAAAUACGUGUCUACGUUCAUCUCGAUCAGUCACUUUUUCCUUUCAUAUUUUUCAUUUGGUUGAUUGUCUUACAAAUAAUUCUUUCAUUUGUGAUUCUUUUGCAAACAUAUUCAUAAAUUUAUAUUCUUGGUAUAUUAUUUGAUCUGCCCACAUAGGUCUUCAGAUAUCAAUGACAUGAGUGAUGCUGUCUCAAACGCGGAGCCUAUUUUUGAGCAAGAAGUGUGUUCAGAGGGAUCCCACGACUUUGAAAAUGACGAAGAUUAUGAUGCAUCUCCGGACUUGUUAAGAAUGAUGGAACAAGAGGAUAAGCAUAUCCUACCUCAUAGGGAAUCGUUAGAAAUAGUGAGCCUAGAGGAUGGAAAGGAGGUGAAAAUUGGAACUGAAAUUACCGCAAAGACAAGGCAAGACCUCAUCAAUUUGCUCCGAGAGUUCAAGGAUGUUUUCGCGUGGUCGUACCAAGAUAUGCCUGGGCUAAGUACUAACAUUGUGGUACAUCGCCUGCCCAUAAAGGAGGAUUGUAAACCCGUUCAACAGAAGCUUAGGAGAAUGAGACCUGACAUUGUGUUGAAAAUAAGAGAAGAAGUCAAAAGACAAUUCGACGCUGGUUUCUUACAAGAGGUCAAGUAUUCGGAUUGGGUAGCCAACAUCGUCCCUGUUCCCAAAAAAGAUGGAAAGGUACGAAUGUGUGUGGACUAUAGGGAUUUAAACAAGGCUAGUCCAAAGGACAACUUUCCACUGCCUCACAUUGAUACUUUGGUAGAUAACACGGCGGGCUAUUCAUUGUUUUCUUUCAUGGACGGUUUCUCUGGAUACAAUCAAAUAAAGAUGCAUCCCGGAGACAUGAGGAAAACCACAUUCAUUACCUUAUGGGGAACAUUUUGUUACAAGGUAAUGCCCUUCGGAUUGAAGAAUGCGGGAGCAACGUAUCAAAGAGCUAUGGUGACUUUGUUUCACGACAUGAUGCACAAGGAGAUCGAAGUCUAUGUUGACGAUAUGAUCGCGAAGUCUAGAACGGAAGAAGAGCAUGUUCAGGUUUUGAAAAGGUUAUUUUUGAGAUUAAAGAAAUUUCAGCUCAAGCUUAACCCGGCCAAAUGCACGUUCGGAGCCAGAUCAGGGAAGUUAUUAGGCUUCAUAGUUAGCAAAAAGGGGAUCGAGGUUGACCCAGACAAAGUAAAGGCAAUACGAGAUUUACCUCCCCCGCGCACUCAGAAGGAGGUUCGAGGUUUCCUAGGGAGGCUGAAUUACAUUGCUCGGUUCAUCUCACAACUGACAGAGAAAUGUGAUCCAGUAUUCCGGCUCUUAAAGAAACAUAAUCCGGGCAAUUGGGAUGAAGAGUGUCAGAGGGCUUUCGAUAAGAUAAAGCAGUACUUGGCUAAUACUCCAGUCUUAUCACCUCCAAGUCCAGAUAGGCCAUUGAUAUUGUAUCUAGCAGUGUUGGAGAAUUCCAUGGGAUGCGUAUUGGGCCAACAUGAUGAGACGGGAAAGAAAGAAAGGGCAAUAUACUAUCUCAGUAAGAAAUUUACCGAUUGCGAAAUGAGGUACUCAUCAAUUGAGAAGUUGUGUUGUGCUCUAAUCUGGGCAACCCGAAGACUGAGGCAGUAUAUGUUGUAUCACACGACUUGGCUGAUUUCAAAGUUAGAUCCUUUAAAAUAUAUGAUGGAAUCAACUGCUUUGAACGGGAGAAUGGCUAGAUGGCAGAUCUUGCUCUCAGAAUUUGAUAUAGUAUAUGUCAGUUAGAAGGCCAUAAAGGGAAGUGCAAUAGCCGAUUUCCUAGCUAGUAGAGCCUUGGAGGACUAUGAAUCUUUGAAUUUCGAUUUUCCAAACGAGGACUUGAUGUAUGUGGCGAAUACUGAAGAAAACCCUCAAAUGGAUCACGUAUGGAAGUUAAAUUUUGAUGGAGCUUCGAAUGCUACGGGUAAUGGAGUUGGGGCAGUUUUGGUAUCCCCGAGUGGAGAUCAUUAUCCUGUAGCCAGCAAGUUGGACUUCGAUUGUACAAAUAAUAUGGCAGAAUAUGAAGCAUGUAUUAUGGGCAUUCGUGCAGCCAUUGAACGGAACAUCAAAGUACUGAGAGUAUACGGGGAUUCAGCGUUGGUGAUAUACCAACUCAAAGGGGAGUGGGAGACUAGAGAUCCUAAGCUAAUUGGUUAUAGGAAACUAGUUCUUGAAUUGGCUGAGGAGUUUGACGAUAUCACCUUCUAUUACCUCCCACGGGAGGAAAACCAAAUGGCUGAUGCAUUAGCUACUCUAGCUUCGAUGAUUCAGGUGAAUAGACUUGAGGCAAUGAGGCCUGUUCAGAUGAGUAUCUCUGAGACCCCGGCUAAUUGUUGCAAUAUUGAGGAGGAGGGAAAAGAUGAUUGUCCUUGGUAUCGGAGUAUCUUACAAUAUGUGAAGAAUCGGGAAUACCCUGAUCAAGCGACAGAGAAUGACAAAAGAACUCUGAGAAAGAUAGCCAUUGAAUAUGUCUUAGAUGGAGAAGUGUUAUAUAAAAGAAGGAAGGAUCAAGUACUGUUAAGAUGUGUAGAUGCGGUAGAAGCCAAGAAAAUUUUGGAGGAAGUCCAUGAGGGUAUUUGUGGGACGCACGCCAGUGGUUUCACGAUGGCCAGACAGAUCAUGAGAUUUGGGUACUAUUGGCCCACCAUGGAAGGAGAUUGCAUUGAUCAUGCCAGGAAGUGCCACAAAUGCCAAAUUUACGGAGACAAAAUACACGCGCCUCCUUCACCUCUUCACGUCAUGACCUCUCCUUGGCCGUUUUCCAUGUGGGGUAUGGAUGUUAUUGGGCCAAUAUCACCAAAGGCUUCUAAUGGGCAUCGCUUCAUCUUCGUAGUAAUUGAUUACUUUACCAAGUGGGUGGAGGCUGCUUCAUAUGCAAAUGUCACAAAAGCAGUAGUCAGCAAAUUCUUGAAGAAGGAGAUCAUUUGUCGAUAUGGGAUGCCUGAGAGGAUCAUAUCCGACAACGCGAUGAACUUGAAUAAUAGCACAAUAGCUGAAGUUUGUAGCAAAUUUAAAAUUAAGCAUCAUAACUCAUCGCCGUAUCGUCCCAAAAUGAAUGGUGCAGUGGAGGCAGCCAAUAAAAACAUUAAAAGGAUUGUGGGGAAAAUGACUGAAACCUACAAGGAUUGGCAUGAGAAAUUAUCAUUUGCUCUCCUCGCCUAUCGAACAUCUGUUAGAACUUCUACUGGGGCAACGCCUUUUGCUCUGGUUUAUGGAAUGGAGGCAGUAUUACCCAUUGAAGUUGAAAUCCCUUCUCUACGGGUGUUAUCUGAGCUACAGUUGGAUGAAGCCGAUUGGAUCCAAUCUCGGUACGAUCAGUUGAACUUAAUAGAAGAAAAGAGGCUAAGAGCUAUUCACCAUGGGCAAAUGUACCAGAAACGAAUGAUGCGAGCCUAUAAUAAAAAGGUUCGCCCCCGAGAAUUUCGUGAAGGGGACUUGGUACUAAAAAAGAUUCUUCCUAUGCAAAAAGAUUUUAGAGGAAAAUGGAUGCCAAAUUGGGAAGGCCCUUAUGUUGUAAAGAAGGCCUUUUCCGGUGGAGCUUUGAUCCUAUGCGAGAUGGAUGGCAAAAGUUUACCAAAUCCUGUAAACGCAGACUCUGUUAAGAAAUACUUCACUUGAAAGAAAGGGGAACCAAAGUGAAAACCCGUAAAGGGCGCUUUGCUUCCUAAAAAAAAAAAAAAAAAAAAAAAAAAAAAAAAAAAAAACUUUGGAGAGGCUAAGGUGAAAACCCGUAAAGGGCACUUUGAGACCAAAGAGGGCUUGAGUCGAAAACCCGAAAAGGGCGACUCGAGUAUUGGGCAGGAUUGGAACAUCAGGACUUGAGCGGAUCAAAUUUUGAUCAGGGGCAUAUGAUGAUCUUGCUUUACCAAUAAGGAAGGAUAUGCAACGUCUCGGAACAUUGACAGAGUAUUGCAGAUUUCCUGAACACAUGUCAAACUCAGAAGGGUCUUCGGAAAAUUUGUACAGAGAAACUCAAGCGGCGAUAACUGGGGCACCUAGUUCAUAUGUGUAUUCUUGAAAAUACAUUUUCUUUCUUUCUUCCUUGCCUUUUGAGAAAACGCGCAUUCUCAAUCCACUUCUUUGUUACCUUUCUUUCGCCAUCUUUGAUGUUUUAUUUGAGUUAUGAUCAGAACUAGCUUUAUUCUUAUCCAUUAUUAUGAUCUUUUCGCAAACAUGUUGCAUAGGAAUAUUGAUUAACGAACUAAUAAAACUUUCAGGAAAGAGGUUUUGCAUAUUACUCUGAAAAGUUCUAAAUAAUAUAGAAACCUGAAACAGGACUAUUGUUUAGAAAAUACCAAGUUUAAAGGGUGAAGUAUCUAAGAAGGAAGAGUCUAAGUUAAAGACUAUAUUUUUGGAUUUUGUUGUCCAAACAUUGAUUGAACAAAAUGACGAGAUGUCGUGUUGGUGACAAAGCUUCAAUGAACAAACAAGCAAUGAUCACCAAAUGAUAAGAAAAGGUUUUCUCGGAGAGGAAAAUUCUGCAAUUGUGCAUGAGCAUUUGGUAUGACACCUUGGGAAUGAGGUAAAGGACCAAAGAGCUUCACAUUCUGUAUCCUUGAAUUGCGAUAGGAGAAGAUUGAAAAAGCCAUAUCUUUCUACCCUUGGAUUAUAGUGGGAGAAUGAUGGUACAAAUUUUGAGCCCUAAUAGAUUAAACUUUAAGGUUUACAGUGGGGGGGCAACCAGAUUAAGUGUUUCUUUGGAUAUACCAGACGAGCAAAAAGGCGUUGUAGUACGUCAGUGAUAAAACCUUAAUAAGUUUUUACGUGAUGUUAACCUAAGCAUUAAGGAAUCAUCUUCAUGACAUUUUGCAUUCACUCAAAUGUCAUUCAUACAUAUCUAGUUAGGAGCAUUUGAUUCAUUCUGAUUAUGUCAUCUGAAUCACUAGGCACGAUUAGGUUCAUAAAAUAGAACAUACAGGUCAUGUUCCCCAAGGGACAGAUCAAUGAAGACAAAGGAUCUUGCCUUUCUGCAUUGACAGUGAAGCAGAUCGAAGACACAAACCUUGCCUCUUUCGGUUGUGAUAGAGCUGGUUGAAGACAAAAGAUCUUGCCUUCCUACAUUAACAGCGAAGCAGAUCGAAAACAAAGCCUUGCAUCCAUCGAUCGCAUUGGAGCUAGUUAAAGAAGUAGAUCUUGCCUUCCUGCAUUAACAGCGGAGCAGAUCAAAGAUAGUAAUCCUAUCUCCUUGAGAUUACAAUGGAGCGGAUUAAAGGAUCUUAUCUCUCUGAAGUUACAGUAGAGAAGAUCACAUCAGAUCUUAUCUCCCUGAGAUUACAGCGGAGCAGAUCAAAGAUAGUAAUCCUAUCUCCUUGAGAUUACAAUGGAGCGGAUUAAAGGAUCUUAUCUCUCUGAAGUUACAGUAGAGUAGAUCGCAUCAGGUCUUAUCUCCCUGAGAUUACAGUGGAACAGACCGAAGAAUUGCAGAUCUUGUCUCCCUGAGGUUACAGCGGAGCAGAUCGAAGAUAUAAUCCUAUCUCCCUGAAGUUACAGUGGAGCGGAUUAAAAUAAAGGAUCUUAUCUCUCUGAAGUUACAGUAGAGUAGAUCGCAUCAGGUCUUAUCUCUCUGAGGUUACAGUGGAGUAGACCGAAGAAUUGCAGAUCUUAUCCCCCUGAAGUUACAGUGGAGCAGAUUGAAGCCAGAGAUCUUAUCUCCCCGAGAUUACAGCGGAGCAGAUCGAAGACACUAUCCUAUCUCCCUGAAGUUACAGUGGAGUGGGUUAAAAUAAAGGAUCUUAUCUCUCUGAGGUUACAGUGGAGUAGACCGAAGAAUUGCAGAUCUUAUCCCCCUGAAGUUACAGUGGAGCAGAUUGAAGCCAGAGAUCUUAUCUCCCCGAGAUUACAGCGGAGCAGAUCGAAGACACUAUCCUAUCUCCCUGAAGUUACAGUGGAGUGGGUUAAAAUAAAGGAUCUUAUCUCUCUGAGGUUACAGCAGAGUAGGUCGCAUCAAGUCUUAUUUCCCUGAAGAUGCAGUGGAAUAGAUUGAAAACCACAAACCUCGUCCCCCUGAAGUUGCUACGAAGAAGAUAAAGGCUACAGGACGCAUCUCUCUAAAAUGCAGUGGAAUGGAUCGAAGCAACAAGACCUAGUGGACUGGAAUGAAACUACUUGAAAUGGAGAAGUACCAGAACAAGUCAAGACUCGGCAAGACCGGGCAAAAUGGGCCUUUCUUAGUCUUUGCUCUGUUAUCGUUACACGACAACGAGCAAAGAGGGGCAGCUGUUGCAGGCCCAUUUGCCCGGGCCCAAGAAGAAACAAAGAACCCAUACCAGCAGACCCACCUGCUCCACCUGCUCUGCCACUGCCGCACCGCCAUCACCUACCCUCCGCCGCACGUCCCAUCGCCUGCACCGUUCAGCCACCUGCUCCACCUGCCAAAGAGAAACAAACACGCAAGCAGAAACGAAGACAAAUUUUUUUCUUUCUUUCGGCUAUAAAAAGCCAGAUUUAAUAUGUAAAUGGGGCUGACUCUUUUUUAAAAAGAAAAAAAAGAUCAAAGAAAUAGAGAAAAAAAUCAGUUGAAAGGUGA